UUUAGGCGACGUAGCCAGUGACAGCAGUGGAUUGUGAAUCCACCAUGCGCG
RNAcentral lists this transfer RNA (51 nucleotides) under Picea abies (Norway spruce). Its description in RNAcentral is "partial tRNA-His". The record is from RNAcentral. Lineage: Eukaryota; Viridiplantae; Streptophyta; Pinopsida; Pinales; Pinaceae.